RNAcentral lists this ribosomal RNA (407 nucleotides) under uncultured bacterium. RNAcentral describes it as "partial 16S ribosomal RNA". It matches the Rfam family "Bacterial small subunit ribosomal RNA", at positions 30 to 526 of the family's 1533-position model. The record is from RNAcentral.
AUUGAACGCUGGCGGCAGGCCUAACACAUGCAAGUCGAGCGGAGCGGCGGAAGGGGGAGUAAUGCCUAGGAAUCUGCCUGGUAGUGGGGGAUAACGUUCGGAAACGGGCGCUAAUCUCGCAUACUCUCAGAUGAGCCUAGGUCGGAUGAGCUAGUUGGGGGGGUAAAGGCCUACCAAGGCGACGAUCCGUAACUGGUCUGAGAGGAUGAUCAGUCACACUGGAACUGAGACACGGUCCAGACUCCUACGGGAGGCAGCAGUGGGGAAGAUUGGACAAUGGGCGAAAGCCUGAUCCAGCCAUGCCGCGUGUGUGAAGAAGGUCUUCGGGUUGUAAAGCACUUUAAGUUGGGAGGCGUUACCAACAGAAUAAGCACCGGCUAACUUCGUGCCAGCAGCCGCGGUAAUAC